Molecule: ribosomal RNA, 892 nt
Filed under: uncultured bacterium
Lineage: Bacteria
Description: bacterial SSU rRNA
Rfam family: Bacterial small subunit ribosomal RNA
Source: RNAcentral
AGAGUUUGAUCCUGGCUCAGAGCAAACGCUGGCGGCGUGCCUAAUACAUGCAAGUCGAACGAGGAAAAACCUUCGGGUUGAGUAUGAGUGGCGUACGGGUGAGAAUAGCGUGGAUAAUCUGCCCUCUAAUGGGGAAUAACCAAUCGAAAGAUUGGCUAAUACCGCAUGAGACCACAGUGCCUACGGGCACAGAGGUUAAAGAUUUAUUGUUAGAGGAUGAGUCUGCGUCCGAUUAGCUAGUUGGUAGGGUAAUGGCCUACCAAGGCUGUGAUCGGUAGCUGGUCUGAGAGGACGAUCAGCCACACUGGAACUGAGACACGGUCCAGACUCCUACGGGAGGCAGCAGUAGGGAAUAUUGCACAAUGGGGGAAACCCUGAUGCAGCGACGCCGCGUGAGUGAUGAAGGCCUUCGGGUUGUAAAGCUCUGUCCUGAGGGAAAACUUAUGAUGGUACCUCAGAAGAAAGGACCGGCUAACUUCGUGCCAGCAGCCGCGGUAAUACGAAGGGUCCAAGCGUUGCUCGGAACUAUUGGGCGUAAAGCGGGCGUAGGCGGCCUUGUAAGUCAGAAGUGAAAGCCCCGGGCUUAACCCGGGAAGUGCCUUUGAUACUGCGAGGCUUGAGUAUGGGAGAGGGUAGUAGAAUUCCUGGUGUAGUGGUGAAAUACGUAGAUAUCAGGAGGAACACCGGUGGCGAAGGCGGCUACCUGGCCCAAUACUGACGCUCAGGCCCGAAAGCGUGGGGAGCAAACAGGAUUAGAUACCCUGGUAGUCCACGCUGUAAACGAUGGAUACUUGGUGUUGGAGGUAUUGACCCCUUCAGUGCCGUAGCUAACGCGGUAAGUAUCCCGCCUGAGGAGUACGGUCGCAAGAUUAAAACUCAAAGGAAUUGACGG